AAGUCGUAACAAGGUUUCCGUAGGUGAACCUGCGGAAGGAUCAUUAGUGAUUGCCAUCUUGGCUUAAACUAUAUCCAUCUACACCUGUGAACCGUUUGAUUGAAUCUUCUGAUUCAAUUUUACAAACAUUGUGUAAUGAACGUCAUUAGAUCAUAACAAAAAAAAACUUUUAACAACGGAUCCCUUGGCUCUCGCAUCGAUGAAGAACGCAGCGAAAUGCGAUAAGUAAUGUGAAUUGCAGAAUUCAGUGAAUCAUCGAAUCUUUGAACGCAACUUGCGCUCUCUGGUAUUCCGGAGAGCAUGCCUGUUUGAGUGUCAUGAAAUCUCAACCAUUAGGGUUUCUUAAUGGCUUGGAUUUGGAGGUUGCCAUUCUAAAUGGCUCCUCUUAAAGGAGUUAGCAAGUUUUACUAUUGCUAUCUGGCGUAAUAAGUUUCGCUGGAAUGGUAUUGUGAAGCGUGCUUCUAAUCGUCUUCGGACAAUUACUUUGACUCUGGCCUCAAAUCAGGUAGGACUACCCGCUGAACUUAAGCAUAUCAAUAAGCGGAGGAAAAGAAACUAACAAGGAUUCCCUUAGUAACGGCGAGUGAACCGGGAAGAGCUCAAAUUUGUAAUCUGGCUGUCUUCGAUAGUCCGAGUUGUAAUCUAUAGAAGCGUUUUCCGUGCUGAACUGUGUAUAAGUCCCUUGGAACAGGGUAUCAAAGAGGGUGACAAUCCCGUACUUUACACAAUCAUCAGUGCUCUGUGAUACGUUCUCUACGAGUCGAGUUGUUUGGGAAUGCAGCUCAAAAUGGGUGGUAAAUUCCAUCUAAAGCUAAAUAUUGGCGAGAGACCGAUAGCGAACAAGUACCGUGAGGGAAAGAUGAAAAGCACUUUGGAAAGAGAGUUAAACAGUACGUGAAAUUGUUAAAAGGGAAACGAUUGAAGUCAGUCGUGUUUAUUGGAUUCAGCCGGUCUUCGGUGUACUUCCUUUAAACGGGUCAACAUCAGUUUUGUUCGGUGGAUAAAGGUAUUAGGAAUGUGGCUUCUUCGGAAGUGUUAUAGCCUAGUAUUGCAUACACUGGAGGAGACUGAGGACUGCAGCUCGCCUUUAUGGCCGGGGUUCGCCCACGUUCGAGCUUAGGAUGUUGACAUAAUGGCUUUAAACGACC
This 1148-nucleotide ribosomal RNA is filed under the name uncultured Trichosporon. Its description in RNAcentral is "eukaryotic LSU rRNA". The stretch from base 492 to 1148 matches the Rfam family "Eukaryotic large subunit ribosomal RNA", at positions 1 to 649 of the family's 3401-position model. Lineage: Eukaryota; Fungi; Basidiomycota; Tremellomycetes. The record is from RNAcentral.